AGUCAUAUGCUUGUCUCAAAGAUUAAGCCAUGCAUGUCUAAGUAUAAACUGCUUUAUACUGUGAAACUGCGAAUGGCUCAUUAAAUCAGUUAUAGUUUAUUUGAUGGUACCUUACUACUCGGAUAACCGUAGUAAUUCUAGAGCUAAUACGUGCGUAAAUCCCGACUUCUGGAAGGGACGUAUUUAUUAGAUAAAAGGCCGACCGGGCUUGCCCGACUCGCGGUGAAUCAUGAUAACUUCUCGGAUCGCAUGGCCUCGUGCUGGCGAUACUUCAUUCAAAUAUCUGCCCUAUCAACUGUCGAUGGUAGGAUAGAGGCCUACCAUGGUUGCAACGGGUAAC
Molecule: ribosomal RNA, 340 nt
Filed under: uncultured eukaryote
Lineage: Eukaryota
Description: SSU rRNA
Rfam family: Eukaryotic small subunit ribosomal RNA
Source: RNAcentral